This 811-nucleotide long non-coding RNA is filed under the name Homo sapiens (human). RNAcentral describes it as "novel transcript". The record is from RNAcentral. Lineage: Eukaryota; Metazoa; Chordata; Mammalia; Primates; Hominidae.
GGCACUUGAUCCAAAGAGAGCCUCUGAAAUGGCUGCACCCGAUAUCUCAGCAGGUUACCCCAUAGAGUGUUGAGUGGGCAACUCAAUUAUUCCCUCACCUGAAGAAGUCUGAAAGCAAGACGAAGAGAGUCCUUUUGCAAGAGUGAUGUACAAAGCCCUACGGACAUACAGACUUCGUGUGCAAGUCCUGUGGAGGAGAGGAGAUGAGAGAGCAAUCGGUUGGUGGCAUCUGGGGACAUUAAACAGUGACGUGGACACAGUGAUGGCCUGCAGUGGUGAACCAGUGAGGGAACAAGUCCUAUGGUUGGGGAGCUACCUGAGGCUGGAGAGCAGAGUACAGCCAGGCCCACAGUGGUGCAGCAUACCAGAGUCAAGGUCUCACUAGGAUGUCCAGGCUGGCCUCGAACUCCUGGGCUCAAGCAAUCCACCUGCCUUGGCCUCUGAAAGUGCAGGAAUUACAGCUGCUGUGCCCUGAGGGGUGAGGGAAAUGUGGUCGCCUAAAACACCAUCAAAGGUUGCUGCUUAAACACUUCCCUCAGCCAUAUAUGAAGGCUAAAUCAGAUAAAGAUCCCAGGAAGUGUGCAACAGGUAAGGCAUCUUGGAGAAUUAAAAAUAAAUUCUUCUAAUCGUCCUUUAGAACGUUAAAGGAAGAAAUCAUAUCAGAGCCAGGUAAAAAUUCAAUGAUAUCUUUCCCGAUAGUGAAGCAAAAUGAUCAAGAAAUUCAACUCUGAUCCAACCCACAGGCAAUUGCAGCCAUUCUCAAAAGGAUCCUGUCUUCCCAAAAUAAAUGUCUGCUCCACUUGAGUUAAAA